Molecule: long non-coding RNA, 302 nt
Filed under: Gallus gallus (chicken)
Lineage: Eukaryota; Metazoa; Chordata; Aves; Galliformes; Phasianidae
Source: RNAcentral
ACAGCACUCAGGGUAUACAGAAGAUGAGGAUCGUGACCUAUGCUGGCACUUAUUCCACCACAUUCAUGUUGACACGAUUUGAUGAAUGCCAGAAUUUCUUCUUUGUUCAUUCGGUGCAGCUGUCCCAUGAGAUCCAUUGCUGUCAGCCCCCAGUAAACACCACUCAUCCUCAAAUACUCAGACAUACAGUACUCAUAAUCGUCUUUCUUUGUUCCAUACGAAGCUAUGUAGUCCGCAUGUUUCUCUGAAAGCAACGUACUUGGAGCAUCUGGUUUUAUUACAACGUCCUUCUGUGGUGUCCC